AGAUAGACCCCUGUAGUAUAGGCCCCUAUAGCGUAUUGCUCUCCAUACCCAUUGUGUGUGCAAAUAGGCCCCCAAAGUUCAAAAAAUCGAUCAAUUAAUCCCGUUUGACUAACCGUUGUUAGUCAAACGUUAGUCAAAUUUUAUUUUUACCCCCAAUUUCUUUCUUGAUCUUUCAAUUUCUACCCCCAAUUUCGACAUCUCCCUCGGCCUCUCUUCUCUUGCGGCGGCGACGAGGCCGCCGGUCACCUCUCCCUCAAUCCAAAACCAGUUAUCCUUCCACGGAUUUCAUAACAACAGUUUCCUAAUAACGAAAUUCAUCGCCCAAAGCUUCGAGCUCAAAGAAAUCGACCGCGCUCGCCAGUUGUUCGACGAAAUUCCUGACUGAAAUGUCUUCCUCUGGAAUGCAGUCAUCGAAGGUUAUUCAAUGCACAAAAUGUUUGAUAAAGAGGUACGUGGGAUGAGAUUUUGGGAAUUGUCACUCAUGGAUUUGGGAGAUGUGGGGAUUUUGAAGAAGGCGUUUCUUACGGCAUUGGGGUUUAUUUGUCGCCGGGAGAUGAUCCGAUUGAUUACGCAAUUAGGGUUAAGGAAGAUGAAUAUGGAGUGAGGCAUGUGUUGCUAUGUCGUGUGAUAUUGGGGAACACAGAGACGAUCGCGACAAUUCCAGCCGAGCUCCACCAAUAUUGACUCCGGAAUCGACAAUCCUCUCUCACCAACAAAAUACACGAUUUGGAGUGCUUUCUUUGGAACGGCGAAAUCAGCCGAGAGAGAGAGAGAGUUGGAUUGAGGGAGAGGUGACCGGCGGCCUCGUCGCCGCCGGAAGAGAAGAGAGGCGAGGGAGAUGUCGGCGGUGGCUGAAUUGGAAUUGGGGGUAGAAAUUGAAAGAAGAAGGGUUAAUUGCCCAUAAAAUACUGAUCUUUCGUCAAAUUCUAAUUUUGCACACAAACUUUGAACUGUAGCGUGAAAAUUACUAAACUUUAGAUUUUAUCUAUUUUUGCUACUAAUUCAAA
Molecule: long non-coding RNA, 1007 nt
Organism: Salvia miltiorrhiza (redroot sage)
Lineage: Eukaryota; Viridiplantae; Streptophyta; Magnoliopsida; Lamiales; Lamiaceae
Exons: 2
Source: RefSeq, a predicted model, not a curated record